GCCUUCAUGGUGCAAUGGUCAGCACACUAGGUGCGUAUUCGAGAGAUCCCGGGUUCGAAUCCCGGCGAAGGCA
RNAcentral lists this transfer RNA (73 nucleotides) under Stegodyphus mimosarum. It matches the Rfam family "tRNA". Rfam says of the family: Transfer RNA (tRNA) molecules are approximately 80 nucleotides in length. The record is from Rfam by way of RNAcentral. Lineage: Eukaryota; Metazoa; Arthropoda; Arachnida; Araneae; Eresidae.